This 72-nucleotide transfer RNA is filed under the name Candidatus Woesearchaeota archaeon. RNAcentral's name for it is "tRNA-Ala". It matches the Rfam family "tRNA". From Rfam's summary of the family: Transfer RNA (tRNA) molecules are approximately 80 nucleotides in length. Lineage: Archaea; Nanobdellati; Candidatus Woesearchaeota. The record is from RNAcentral.
GGGCUCGUAGCUCAGGGGUAGAGUGUUCCGUUCGCUGCGGAAAGGCCCCGGGUUCAAAUCCCGGCGAGUCCA